Molecule: ribosomal RNA, 632 nt
Filed under: uncultured Actinomycetes bacterium
Lineage: Bacteria; Bacillati; Actinomycetota; Actinomycetes
Description: bacterial SSU rRNA
Rfam family: Bacterial small subunit ribosomal RNA
Source: RNAcentral
GGUAGUCCACGCCGUAAACGGUGGGCACUAGAUGUGGGGACCUUCCACGGUCUCUGCGUCGCAGCUAACGCAUUAAGUGCCCCGCCUGGGGAGUACGNCCGCAAGGCUAAAACUCAAAGGAAUUGACGGGGGCCCGCACAAGCAGCGGAGCAUGCGGCUUAAUUCGACGCAACGCGAAGAACCUUACCAAGGCUUGACAUAUAGAGAAAUCCGUUAGAGAUAACGGGUCCGUAAGGGCUCUAUACAGGUGGUGCAUGGUUGUCGUCAGCUCGUGUCGUGAGAUGUUGGGUUAAGUCCCGCAACGAGCGCAACCCUCGUUCUGUGUUGCCAGCAUUUAGUUGGGGACUCACAGGAGACUGCCGGGGUCAACUCGGAGGAAGGUGGGGAUGACGUCAAAUCAUCAUGCCCCUUAUGUCUUGGGCUGCACGCAUGCUACAAUGGCCGGUACAAAGGGCUGCAAUACCGCAAGGUGGAGCGAAUCCCAAAAAGCCGGUCUCAGUUCGGAUUGGGGUCUGCAACUCGACCCCAUGAAGUCGGAGUUGCUAGUAAUCGCAGAUCAGCAACGCUGCGGUGAAUACGUUCCCGGGCCUUGUACACACCGCCCGUCACGUCACGAAAGUCGGUAACACCCG